This 246-nucleotide ribosomal RNA is filed under the name uncultured bacterium. RNAcentral's name for it is "partial 16S ribosomal RNA". It matches the Rfam family "Bacterial small subunit ribosomal RNA", at positions 531 to 776 of the family's 1533-position model. The record is from RNAcentral.
GAUGCAAGCGUUGUCCGGAAUUACUGGGCGUAAAGCGUGCGCAGGCGGUUUUGUAAGGCAGAGGUGAAAUCCCCGGGCUUAACCUGGGAACUGCGUUUGAAACUACAAGGCUAGAGUGUGGCAGAGGGGGGUGGAAUUCCACGUGUAGCAGUGAAAUGCGUAGAGAUGUGGAGGAACACCGAUGGCGAAGGCAGCCCCCUGGGUUAACACUGACGCUCAGGCACGAAAGCGUGGGGAGCAAACAGG